GACGAACGCUGGCGGCGUGCUUAACACAUGCAAGUCGAACGGUGAAGCGCCUUCCUUUUUGGUGGGUGUGGAUGAGUGGCGAACGGGUGAGUAACACGUGAGUAACCUGCCCCCUUCUUCUGGAUAACCGCAUGAAAGUGUGGCUAAUACGGGAUAUUCUGGGUCUGUCGCAUGAUGGGUCUGUGAAAGAUAUUGUUUCGGUGGGGGAUGGGCUCGCGGCCUAUCAGCUUGUUGGUGGGGUGAUGGCCUACCAAGGCGGUGACGGGUAGCCGGCCUGAGAGGGUGGACGGUCACACUGGGACUGAGACACGGCCCAGACUCCUACGGGAGGCAGCAGUGGGGAAUAUUGCACAGUGGGCGCAAGCCUGAUGCAGCGGCGCCGCGUGAGGGAUGGAGGCCUGCGGGUUGUGAACCUCUUUCGCCAGUGAAGCAGGCCUGCCUCGUUUGUGGGUGGGUUGACGGUAGCUGGAGAAGAAGCGCCGGCUAACUACGUG
Molecule: ribosomal RNA, 494 nt
Filed under: uncultured bacterium
Lineage: Bacteria
Description: partial 16S ribosomal RNA
Rfam family: Bacterial small subunit ribosomal RNA
Source: RNAcentral